GCUUUUAUAAUUUAUAAAAAAUAUUGGUCUUGUAAACCAACAAUAAGAUUAAAAUCUUUUUAAGCU
Molecule: transfer RNA, 66 nt
Filed under: Hybos culiciformis
Lineage: Eukaryota; Metazoa; Arthropoda; Insecta; Diptera; Hybotidae
Description: tRNA-Thr
Rfam family: tRNA
About the family: Transfer RNA (tRNA) molecules are approximately 80 nucleotides in length. Their secondary structure includes four short double-helical elements and three loops (D, anti-codon, and T loops).
Source: RNAcentral